Molecule: ribosomal RNA, 396 nt
Filed under: uncultured bacterium
Lineage: Bacteria
Description: bacterial SSU rRNA
Rfam family: Bacterial small subunit ribosomal RNA
Source: RNAcentral
AUUGAACGCUGGCGGCAUGCCUUACACAUGCAAGUCGAACGGCAGCACGGGAGCUUGCUCCUGGUGGCGAGUGGCGAACGGGUGAGUAAUACAUCGGAACGUACCCUGAAGUGGGGGAUAACGUAGCGAAAGUUACGCUAAUACCGCAUAUUCUGUGAGCAGGAAAGAGGGGGAUCGCAAGACCUCUUGCUUUAGGAGCGGCCGAUGUCGGAUUAGCUAGUUGGUGAGGUAAAGGCUCACCAAGGCGACGAUCCGUAGCGGGUCUGAGAGGAUGAUCCGCCACACUGGGACUGAGACACGGCCCAAACUCCUACGGGAGGCAGCAGUGGGGAAUUUUGGACAAUGGGCGCAAGCCUGAUCCAGCCAUGCCGCGUGAGUGAAGAAGGCCUCGGUUGU